RNAcentral lists this unclassified non-coding RNA (416 nucleotides) under soil metagenome. RNAcentral's name for it is "partial contains 5.8S ribosomal RNA, internal transcribed spacer 2, and large subunit ribosomal RNA". The stretch from base 1 to 120 matches the Rfam family "5.8S ribosomal RNA", at positions 35 to 154 of the family's 154-position model. The record is from RNAcentral.
GAUGAAGAACGUAGUGAAAUGCGAUAAGUAAUGUGAAUUGCAGAAUUCAGUGAAUCAUCGAAUCUUUGAACGCACCUUGCACUCCUUGGUAUUCCGAGGAGUACGCCUGUUCGAGUGUUAUGAAGCUCUCAAAACGCAAUUGGCUUAAAACCUGAUUGUUGUUUUGGAUUUGAACUUUGCCGUGUUAUAACGGCUGGUUUUAAAAGUAUUAGCUGGUACUAGAACGAAUUGGUUCUACUCAACGUGAUAAUUAUCUGAUCGUUGAGGACAUUUCUUUCACGAGGAAUGGCCAUAGUAAAUUCAAUGGACUGCUUCUAAUCUGGCUUUAAUUCUUUAUUGGAUUAACCACUUUUCAAAUCUGACCUCGAAUCAGGUGGGACUACCCGCUGAACUUAAGCAUAUCAAUAAGCGGAGGA